Long non-coding RNA from Bos taurus (domestic cattle), 2791 nucleotides. NCBI's taxonomy places the organism in Eukaryota, Metazoa, Chordata, Mammalia, Artiodactyla, Bovidae. The record is from Ensembl.
AGGACGUGGGGACGUGGAGGCAUGUGUGUGUGAGGACGUGGGUGUGUGCGUUCUUGUGGGUUCCGGUCGGCCGGGCUGGGCUGCGGCCUGAGGGGUUGCCUCCUGACCACCUAGUCGCACGGCGUGGUAGUGUAUUUUUCAAUUCUGGAAUUCUGAGCAAGAACCCGAGUCUGCCUCAACCAGAAAAACAACGGAAGCAUAGCUUUCCCAGAGGUCUCAGCCUGUGAAUUUCCACUGAUACCUUCUUGGUCAGACUUGGGUCCCACAGCCACUCCUUGCUGCAAGGAAGUUUGGAGAGAUACGUCUUUUUUCCACGUUGAGAUCCAGCUGUCAAGUGGGUCCUGUGAGGACGAAUGGGAGAAGGGACCUUGGGUAGGUCAGGUCCAGCUCACCUGUGAACAGUUUAUAGUGGACUGGGUUGCCUGUGUUUCGGGGCCUAACAGGAGCGUCUGGACUCCAGUCCCAUUGGGCCGCAUGGCAGUCACCCAGCAGUUUCAGGAGCCCUGGGCUGCAGGUGAAGACAUGUGGUUGUAAACUGAGCCCACACAGAUGGAAGGGGGAGAAUUUGAGUUCCCUUUGGGGGAGACCUGCAAGCCGGAGCCGCAGGCUGCUUCCUCAGCUCAGAGAAGAGGAUUUGUUUCUGUAAGGCCUCCUUCCCCAUGUUCACCCCGCCUACCUCCUUCAGUGAUUCUGAAUAAAAUAGGGGAAAAGUGAAGGGGGAUAGGUCUCUGGAGAGUCCUGGACCCAGGAAAUAAAGGCUUCUUAGCGGUGUCGCUGAGAUGACCUUGAGAGUGAGCGGUGGGUUAGAUAGGAGCAAUGAGGUAUACUAGAGCACGCAGAAUGCGUUCAUACUGUGAGACCCCAGCAGUACAGGCCAGCCUUGGUCUAUUGCUGUUCACUUGAUCGCGCCUUGUGAAUAUCCAUUUUUCACAGAUUGCUGAUUUGCGGUGACCCUGGGUCUGUGUGCUGUCCUUAGUCGCUCAGUCGUGUCUGACUCUCUGCGACCUCAUGGAUUGUAGCCUGCCAGGCUCCUCUGUCCGUGGGAGUCUCCAGGCAAGAAUACUGGAGUGGGUUGCCAUGCCAUUCUCCAGGGGAUCUUCCCAACCCAACAGUCGAACCCAGGUCUCCCACACUGCAGGUGGAUUCUUUACCAUCUGAGCCACCAGGGAAGCCCAAGAAUACUGGCGUGUGUAGCCUGCCCUUCUCCAGGGGAUCUUCUCGACUCAGGAGUUGACCCCGGGUCUCCUGCUUUGCAGGCAGAUUGUCCACCAGCCGAGCUACCAGGGAAGCCCACCCUGCGUCUGUCACGUGCCAUUUUUCCAACUGCAUUUGCUCACUUCCUGUUUCUGUGUCAUAUUUUGAUAAUUCUCUCAGUAUUUCCAACUUUUUCAUUAUUGCUAUAUUUUUAUGGUGAUCAGUGGUCUUAGAUGUGACUAUUGCAGUUGUUUUGGGCACCAUGAACCACGCCCAUACUAGAAGGCAGAUUUGAUUCAUGAAUGUUGUGUGUAUUCUGACUGCUCCGUGACCAGGUGUUCUCCUGUCUCUCCUUCUCCUUGGGCCUCCCUGUUCCUGAGAUACAAUAUUGAAAUUAGGCCAGUUAAUAACCCUGAAGUGAUCUCUCGGUGUUCAAGUGGAAGGAAGAGUCAAACGUCUUUCACUUUAAAUCAAAAGCUGGAAACAAGCUUAGUGAAAGCCAAGGCAGGCCAAAAGCUAGUCUUCUCACACCAAACCAUUAGCCAAGUUGUGAAUGCAAAGGGAAAGUUCCUGAAGGAAAUUAAAUGGGUGCUCCAGUGAACACAUGGACGAUAGGAAAGUGAAACAGCCUUACUGCUGAUACGGAGGAAGUUUGAGCAGUCUGGAUAGAAGAUCAGACCAGCCACGUUCCCUGAAGCCAAAGCCUAAUGCAGAGCAAGACCCCUACUCUCUCCAGUUCUGCGAAGGCUGAGAGGUGAGGAAGCUGCAGAAGUGGUUCGUGAGGUUGAAGGAAAGACGCCAUCUCUGUAACAUAAUAGUGCCUGGUGACACAGUGCACCGUGCAGAAGCGCUAGCUCAGUUCAUGCGUGAUGGCCCUGCGGUGAAUAGCAGACGUUCAGUGCAGGCGAUGAGACAGCCAUUAAGAACAUUCAUGAUUCUUGGGAAGAGGUUCAAGUAUCAAAAUACACAGCCCUCAUGGACAACUUUGAGGGGUUCAAAAUACAGUGGCGGAAUUAGCUGCAGAUGUGGUGGGAACAGCAAGAGAACUAGCAGUGGGGCCUGAAGAUGUGGCUGAAUUGCCGCAAUUUCAUGAUCAAACUUGAAGAGGAGAUUCUCCUUAUGGAUCGACAUGGAAGUGGUUUCGUGAGAUGGAAUCCAUUCCUGUGAAGAUGUUGUUAAGACUGCUGAAAUGACAACAAAGGAUUUAGACUACGACCUCAACUUCGUUGAUAAAACAGGUUUGAGAGGACCGACUCCAAUUUUGAAAGAAGUUCUGUUGUGGGCCAGGUGCUGUCCAGCAGCACUGCAAGCUUCAGAGAAGCUGUUCACCAAAGUCAGUCACUGCAGCCAGCCUCACUGGUGUCUCAUAUUAAGAAACUGCUGCAGCCACCACCCUGUCGGUCAGCAGAUCAGUGCUGAGGCAAGACCCUCCACCAGCAAACAGAGGAGGACUCUCUGAAGGCCAAGGUGAUGAUUAGAAUGUUAAAACAAUGAAAUAUGUUUACAUUAAGGCACAUACAUUGUGUUUUCAGACAUAAUGUUAUUGCAUGCUCAACAGACUACAGCAUAGUGGAAAUAUAACUUCCGUAAGCAGCAG